RNAcentral lists this ribosomal RNA (467 nucleotides) under uncultured bacterium. RNAcentral's name for it is "partial 16S ribosomal RNA". It matches the Rfam family "Bacterial small subunit ribosomal RNA", at positions 28 to 507 of the family's 1533-position model. The record is from RNAcentral.
GACGAACGCUGGCGGCGUGCUUAACACAUGCAAGUCGAACGAUGAAGCCCAGCUUGCUGGGUGGAAGAGUGGCGAACGGGUGAGUAACACGUGAGUAACCUGCCCUGAACUCUGGGAUAAGCACUGGAAACGGUGUCUAAUACUGGAUACGACCUAUCACCGCAUGGUGUGUGGGUGGAAAGAUUUAUCGGUUCUGGAUGGACUCGCGGCCUAUCAGCUAGAUGGUGAGGUAAUGGCUCACCAUGGCGACGACGGGUAGCCGGCCUGAGAGGGUGACCGGCCACACUGGGACUGAGAGACGGCCCAGAAUCCUACGGGAGGCAGCAGUGGGGAAUAUUGCACAAUGGGCGCAAGCCUGAUGCAGCAACGCCGCGUGAGGGAUGACGGCCUUCGGGUUGUAAACCUCUUUUAGUAGGGAAGAAGCGAAAGUGACGGUACCUGCAGAAAAAGCACCGGCUAACUACGUG